ACGAGGGGAAGGAGCAGUUUAAAACCGGCAAUCGGGAGUUUAGGCAUCAACAGGCGGAAAAUGAAAUCACCCGGCUUGGAACGUGGCCAAGGAACGGGGAUUAAAGCCAGCAGGCCCACACAGAGCUCCCAGAGCUGCAGGCUCGCCUGUGACUGCAGACAGGAGCACACGGAAAGCCGGGAUUCACUUUCCCUGCAGUGGUCAGGAGGAGCCAGGAGGGGUUGUCUGCUCUGUCUUAUAACAGAAAACCGCUGGAAUUUUCCUCCCGUGCCCCACACUGUGUCGUGUUUUCCUGGAAUUGGAAUGACUCGGAUGGACCUUUUCUCUGCACCUUCUGCACUGAGGAAAUAGCUGGUUUUUCCAUCCCUGUGGGGCUGCACUGGAGUCUGAGGGGAUUCAGCAGCACGAUGGGCACCUCUGUGCAUUCCAGGUUUGCCUCUCCAGGGCCAGGGCAUGAACAGGAAUGAUGGGAAAGCUCCUGCUGCUCCUGCUCUGUUCCAGGGG
Long non-coding RNA from Chiroxiphia lanceolata (lance-tailed manakin), 504 nucleotides. RefSeq lists it as uncharacterized. The transcript has 3 exons. Lineage: Eukaryota; Metazoa; Chordata; Aves; Passeriformes; Pipridae. The record is from RefSeq and is a predicted model, not a curated record.